Trichonephila inaurata madagascariensis is the source of this 72-nucleotide non-coding RNA. The record is from the annotation of a GenBank genome assembly. Lineage: Eukaryota; Metazoa; Arthropoda; Arachnida; Araneae; Nephilidae.
GCCAUCAUAGCUCAGUGGCAGAGCACUGGUUUUUAAAACCAGGGUGGGAGUUGGGAUCCUCACUGGGGGGCU